CUGACCUCCGCCGACUAUUGACAACGCGAGCGUCUCGGUCGUUUUCGCGCUAGAGGGUAACACCGAGCCUAUCCAGAGGCUCUGACACCCAAACUGGAGCGGUCCAAUCUCGAGGAGCCGCGACCGCGAGCCGAUCAACGUCAGACUUGGGAGAAUCCUUUGCAUUCGCGAGGUGUCGUGUUCACGGAGUCUACUCUCGCUAAUUCUCAUUCUACCGUCGCUAGACGAGACGACGUCGACGUCUAUACUAGCCGAAUCGUUGGCGAACAAAGAGUUGAAGCGAAGAUCUGACGAAUGUUUGGCAAUCGAGGUACGUUAAGCUUUCGUUCGCUACUGGAAAGGAACAGAGGGUCGGGUGGAUCCAUCGCGUCCUGACGGGUCGCACGAGUCCAGACGUAGAUGGAGAAACGUAGAGGCGGACAAAGCACCGUGCAUUUAGAACGGGAAGGACAACCGGGGUAGGGGUGGGGGGAGUCUGGUGGCGCACCACGCGACCGCAACGAUCAUCGAGAGCAUCGCCGAGUCCGUGGAUCAGCGGAUGGCGGAAAAUGGGACGACCCCCACUCCCUCACCGGCCGUGGUGUGCGUCGACGAACGAUCUCGUACCGAUUAAUCCUGGCUCGCUCGCGUCUCGUGGAUCGGCGAGGGUUCCUCCUGGCGUUAUCUGGCCCGUGGCAGGAGGGUGGUUCCGUCCAUCGCGUUUCUGGAUCGUAUCGUCCCAAGGAUCGAUCGCGGUCCGGGUGGCACACGCGCUGACCGGUUGCGGAACACGUCCAGGAAACUAGUUUCCGAGGUUCGCGUACACACAAGGACGUGGAUUCACUUGGCGAGGAGCGAUCGCGCUAGGACAAAGUCUUGGACCGAGACCCGAAGAGAAUCUUUGGUCUGGCCUCUUGACGGUCGAUCGUCUGACUCGAUGGCUACCCGUUGCCAGUCCACUGCCUCUAACAAGGUCGUUGCGUCUAACCAAUUACGUCGCCUCGUCGAAGGACGACCUUCCGAAGGACCAAUGUCGUCCACCGAGCGUCACGGAAGUAAGUUUCCUCCAAACAUCGUCUGACGCAUUUGAAAAGGAUUGGAGACGAGAUACGAAGAGAUUCGGAAACAAAAUCUGUCCAAGUUCCCUCCGAACUUGGCCGGGUGUGUUUAGAAGGAUUCGAGGGGGAAUCCUAAGAGAUCCCCAGACGCCGAGUCACCUGGAGGGUGCUUUUCUAACGUUUCACGAUUAAGGCUGUACAGGUUCUACUCUAUUGGAAACGAUGUAAAAAUGUUGAUCGUCCUUCAAAUAUUAUCCUGUUCGUCCGCUGCUACGAUUUAAUCAAUUUUCCUGAACAAGAAGUACCUAACCCAGGCCUUUCCACGGAUCUUAACCCAGGUCACGGAGCCUCAUGGAAUCGGCUAACUUAAUCCUCGCUCGAUUACUCGAACCCUACGUCUCUUCCCUGAGGGAUCGUGAACUUGGGCUGAAUCUUUGUUCCGCGAGCUGCGAUUCCCCCGUGAAAGAAGAUCGAUCAAAGUUUUUGCUUGAAAGGGUGCGCAACCCCUGAACUUCUGUCAGGUGUUGCGCUGGUCGUGGCAACCCGCGAAAUGAUCCUUUUUCGCUGUUCGGGAUUGUUCGACAGGAGGCACGUGUCUCUGGAGGGUGACUCCAACGAGAGAACGAUAGGGCGAGUAUCGGAGAGAAUCAGAGGUAAAUUUAAGCCUCGAACUCGAGGAACUUAUUUUUCGACGCGAAUCACCGCAACGUCUACUCCCUCGAUACGUCCAGGCCCUUGCGCGCUACAUCGCUACAUAGCGUGAAAAUGUGUGCAGAGUUCGUGGCUGGGAAUCUUGACUCCCGACAUUCAAGUGCGCUACCGUCUUCACCCUCUAUUGUCUCUACGACCUCGCUAUAUUUCUGCCAGUGUCCCUGCAUCUUCAGAACUUUCCUCCAACUCCCUACCUCCGUGGCGUGUUUGCGUACACGUUGCGUACCGAGUUCUUUUCUUUGGCAAUUUUUCAAACACUCGUCAUUUUCAAACAACUUUUUAAACAAACUCCGUAGGAAUGUUAUUAAUUUGCAACUUUGUUAAACAUGCGACAAAACGCCUCGUUUGAACGAGAUUAAGAAUUGUAUGAAAUGACGGCGGCCGCCAGCGAGGAACGCGAAAUUUCUCAGUCUACUUUCAAAUAUCAUUGUGAAUUAGUAAUCUGAACUUGCAUCGUUUUAUCGAGAAACGCUGCCAACACUUCUUUAUCCCUAUACGGAGUGUCGCAACUAACGUGACCACCUUAAAACACCAGAGUAAACCAUUAUUUCUUUGGUUAAAGAUAUUUCGUCAAAGUCGUACUCGACGUUUUCUUCGUUGAGACAGCGUAGCUUGCGAAAAGGUAAAGAAAAUGUUUGGUUCGAAUAAAAAAUGGACCAAGUCGUCCGUUUGAAAAUGUUAAUGACCGAAUCUCGUAAGGGGGGUGAACCAGGUCCAAGGGUGUAUUGUAAUACAGGCUGAUCGAUCAGACUCUGACGUUCUCGAGGUAAAGGAGAGACACGCGGAAGAAAGCCGAAAAACGACAGAAGAAGAACAGAGUGAAAAAGAGAGGAGAGAAAGAGUUGUACGAGGGUGGUUCGAUCGAAGUUGUCGAAGGGAGGGCGCCACCUUGCCGGACACCCCGUUUACAUCGGCUCCAGUGGUUCGCGCACUUAUCACCCUAUCGUUACCAUAGUGGCUUAUCAUUCCAUUUAACGAAUCGUCCAUAGUAACUGGAGAGGUUAGCCAGAAAAUCGAAACAGAACUCAUCUGGGCCCGAGGAAUAAUUCUCCAAGUAAUUAAACGUCAGCUUUUCCUUC
Hylaeus anthracinus is the source of this 2827-nucleotide long non-coding RNA. RefSeq lists it as uncharacterized. Lineage: Eukaryota; Metazoa; Arthropoda; Insecta; Hymenoptera; Colletidae. The record is from RefSeq and is a predicted model, not a curated record. The transcript has 3 exons.